CUUGACCGAGCCGAGCAGCAGGGAGCGCUCCGGGUCGCGGUCCCGGCCGUAGGUCGCCAGCAGCGCCUGCGCCUC
This 75-nucleotide antisense RNA is filed under the name Streptomyces scopuliridis RB72. RNAcentral's name for it is "ASpks TB sRNA". It matches the Rfam family "ASpks TB sRNA". Lineage: Bacteria; Bacillati; Actinomycetota; Actinomycetes; Kitasatosporales; Streptomycetaceae. The record is from Rfam by way of RNAcentral.